This 479-nucleotide ribosomal RNA is filed under the name bacterium DM-L2. RNAcentral describes it as "SSU rRNA". It matches the Rfam family "Bacterial small subunit ribosomal RNA", at positions 12 to 485 of the family's 1533-position model. The record is from RNAcentral.
UUUUUAUCUGGCUCAGAUUGAACGCUGGCGGCAUGCUUUACACAUGCAAGUCGAACGGUAACAGGGAGCUUGCUCCGCUGACGAGUGGCGAACGGGUGAGUAAUGCGUCGGAACGUGCCGAGUAGUGGGGGAUAACUAUCCGAAAGGAUAGCUAAUACCGCAUACGCUUUGAGAAGGAAAGCAGGGGAUCGCAAGACCUUGCGCUAUUCGAGCGGCCGACGUCUGAUUAGCUAGUUGGUGAGGUAAAGGCUCACCAAGGCAUCGAUCAGUAGCGGGUCUGAGAGGAUGAUCCGCCACACUGGGACUGAGACACGGCCCAGACUCCUACGGGAGGCAGCAGUGGGGAAUUUUGGACAAUGGGCGCAAGCCUGAUCCAGCCAUGCCGCGUGUCUGAAGAAGGCCUUCGGGUUGUAAAGGACUUUUGUCAGGGAGGAAAUCCCUAGCGCUAAUAUCGCUGGGGGAUGANCAGUACCGAAGGU